GGUGCUGCACUGGGGACUAGAGAGCCAAUGCUAAGCCAAGGACAAGGUCACUGCUCUCACAGUGCCCACGGUGUGCAGAGAUAAGCCCUAGACUGUUGCAUGUGCCAGAGAGAGGGCAAAAGGCUGCCAGCUCCCUAUCCCUACCUGCUGACCAAAAAAGUGACAGAGGCUUUGACAGACAUGAGAAACCAGGAAGAGAGAGGGCAAUGGGGAAGAGAAGAAGAGCCCCCUGUCUUGAAGUCGCAACAAUGCACAAGUGAUCAACUCAGUUUGGAGCGUGGGAGGAAGAGAACUUCAAGUGACAAAACAUGACCUGCAGAUAUCACCAACAUGGGUCUCAUUUAUAAUGCACAUUUUUACCUUACUCACUGGAAAUGGACAGCACAAAUGGCACUCACAUGGUGAUGCAGGUUGUCAAAAAUCCCAAAAUUCGGUAAAGCACUGCAGUAACAAGGCUAUGAGGAAAUUGGAACUCCAAGGCAUUGUUGACAGAUAAAGAAAUUGACCCAACACCUGUGGAGGCACAACACCUUCACAUUCCUAACCACAAUGCCCUUGCCUACUGGAGGAAAUGGUUGGUGUAAGGCCUUUGCUGCUCCAAGAGAAGACUACAAAGAUGAGCAAGCAGCUCUUGAUGUUAUGGGCCCAAGAAUAAGCACUUCACCUAUACAAUGUCAAAUAAAAUUAAUCCUCAAAACAACCCUUUUCAUAAGGGACAGAAGUGAGGCUCAGAUCAAUUUCAUGCUUUCCACACAAAGAAUAUAGAGCAGACAAUUGAUAGCAGAGAAAAUAUAAAAGGUUACUAAAUAUG
Molecule: long non-coding RNA, 811 nt
Organism: Symphalangus syndactylus (siamang)
Lineage: Eukaryota; Metazoa; Chordata; Mammalia; Primates; Hylobatidae
Source: RefSeq, a predicted model, not a curated record